Molecule: long non-coding RNA, 563 nt
Organism: Gymnodraco acuticeps
Lineage: Eukaryota; Metazoa; Chordata; Actinopteri; Perciformes; Bathydraconidae
Exons: 3
Source: RefSeq, a predicted model, not a curated record
GCGUGUGCAUUCCAUUUUCACUCUACAGCGAGAAGCUCAUGGGGCUUUCCCGAACCUGAGUCGAGAGCUGGAGUUCAAUGAAAUCUCAGAUUUGCCUUCUUUUUUCGGUCCCUCACUUCCGUUUAGCUUCUUUCUUCUCAUGCAUUGAUUCGCUUGAUUGAAUCAAUCGGAGUGAUUUCUUGGCCGACGGCCUACUGAUUCGACAUGUCGAAUCGGCGGCGGUAGGUGUCGGCACGGCCGAAAAUACACGACGGUGCAGUACACACGAAUCUGAGUAGGGCGACACGACUUUCAUCGACGGCCCAACAUCUAUCGACGCUGAUAAUCGGCUCGGUAUGCCUUCAGCGGGAACAAUAAGCCCACCAUGGUGCCGAUCCCAAAUGCCAGUUGAGUUCGGCACGGCCAAUCAGAUGAGCAGGAACGACAUCAGCAGACUGAACACGCUGUACAAAUGUCGAAAGGGGGUGCAGAAACCCUGAGGACAUGGGGCCAUUUUAAAACAUCAAACCAGCUCUUUAUAGCACAGACUGAGAAAGUGUGUUGAUAAUAAAUCUUCAAACAUG